RNAcentral lists this small RNA (464 nucleotides) under Drosophila ananassae. RNAcentral's name for it is "GF27992". Lineage: Eukaryota; Metazoa; Arthropoda; Insecta; Diptera; Drosophilidae. The record is from RNAcentral.
CGCCCGCGUGCCGUCGCCAAUUGUGGAGUGUUUUGUUUUUUUUUUUCGUUUUCACGUGCUUAAGAGUGUGUUUGUUUUUUUUGUCGUGCGUUUUUUUAAUUGACGGGCCAGGGAGCAACCACAACAACAACAACAACAACAACCUGAAAACCUGAAAGAAAAAAAAAAUACAAAGAAAAAAGAAGAAGGAUAAAGCUCCAAAACCCAAAAAAUCCAAUGCAAAAGUGAAAUGUAAACAAUGAGAAAGUGCAGUCAGUGGAAAGUGUAGCAUACUGUUCGGGGCCUGUCCCAAUAAUUCCAAAACACCAGCCAGAGUAGAAAGUCAAAAACUCAAAAACUCAAACUCGAAAGUUUUGUGAGGACUAGCACCAGCCACCCACCUGUGCGAAAGGCGCUAAGUAGCAGGCCUCGCAAGGACAACCCGACCAGGACCCAACCAAACCAAACCAAACCAAAUAGAGGGC